CCGAUUGAAUGAUUUAGUGAGGACUUCGGACUGGUCAAUCCAGACCAUUGGGAAACUAGUGGUCGGAUUGUGCUGGAAAGAUGUUCAAACUUGAUCAUUUAGAGGAAGUAAAAGUCGUAACAAGGUUUCCGUAGGUGAACCUGCGGAAGGAUCAUUAACGUAUUACCCUCUUAUUAUAAGAGAAAUACAACCUUCAAACAAUCAAACACUCUGCAUAGUGAUAUUGUAGAUGCUAAUAUGGUGAAUGCAAUUGAGUUGUAUUUGCAUUAGAGUCGCAAUUGUGAAUGUUUAAUGCAAACAUUUAGCCAUUGCAACAUGAUUCUAUUUGUGUUACAUUCAUUCAUUCAUACAUCCAUCUUUCAUUAUCCAAUGCAACAAAGAGUGAGGGUUAUCUAACGAUAGCCAUAAUUUCUUUUUGCAAAACAAUUGUAGUUUAUAAUGAAAAGCCGGUCUUGCUACAUACUUGGUACCUGUUCAAGUCUUCAGCUUAUGCUGACGGCAAGGUUUAAAGAAGGAAGUUUUAUACUUCUUCGCCUACCUAAGUAAAGACAACUAUGGUUUAUAUAAACUGCAUACAAUUGUUUUAACCCUCUCAAUGCAGAUUUAGGAUACUUAUUAAAAGUCCCACGGUGGCAAAGAUACAUCUUCAAGCGGUGGAUCACUCGAAUUACCAAUCGAUGAAGAACGUAGCUAGCUACGAUAAUCGGUGCGAAUUGCAGGACACGCCGAGCACUUGAGCUUCCAACGCACAUUGCGGCUUUCGGGUCUUUUCCGAGGUCACAUCUGUCUGAGAGUUGAGAUGUAAAAUAAUCAACAAAACACUUGCAUACUACCAUAUAUGCAUUGUUUUGAGAGGAUUGUAUAUUUAUAUACAUGAAUCUUGAUGUUUUAUUCCUUUUCUUAAUUGCGAUUCGUUGCAAUUUAGUAAGGAGAAUCUCAAAUCUACUUGUUUCACAUGAUAAAUUUUGUGUACAAUGCAUAUUUCAUCUCUGCAAGCAGUAUAUAUGAAUAGAUACUAGCAUGAGAUUCUAAGGUUAGUCGCCUAUCUGACGACGCUAAAGUCGUAUUGCAGAUAACUAUGGUGAUCAACUAACCUGUUAAAUGAUGAAUCUUCUUGCACUUGUAUAAAUCAUACAAAUAGUAGCUAUUUCAUUCUGUUAAAGCAGACCUAAGAAGUAAUGCAAAGGCAAAAUUUGUGUAAACGUUAAAGUAGAUUUACGUUGCUUGCUUGCAAACAACACAAAUAUACAUUAAUCAACUUAAUCAAUAUUUUUGAUCUCAGAUCAGGUGAGGUUACCCGCCGAAU
RNAcentral lists this unclassified non-coding RNA (1306 nucleotides) under Tetranychus kanzawai. Its description in RNAcentral is "partial contains 18S rRNA, ITS1, 5.8S rRNA, ITS2 and 28S rRNA". The stretch from base 1 to 157 matches the Rfam family "Eukaryotic small subunit ribosomal RNA", at positions 1685 to 1831 of the family's 1831-position model. Lineage: Eukaryota; Metazoa; Arthropoda; Arachnida; Trombidiformes; Tetranychidae. The record is from RNAcentral.